RNAcentral lists this ribosomal RNA (508 nucleotides) under uncultured bacterium. RNAcentral describes it as "partial 16S ribosomal RNA". It matches the Rfam family "Bacterial small subunit ribosomal RNA", at positions 29 to 525 of the family's 1533-position model. The record is from RNAcentral.
AGUGAACGCUGGCGGUAGGCCUAACACAUGCAAGUCGAACGGCAGCACAGAGGAGCUUGCUCCUUGGGUGGCGAGUGGCGGACGGGUGAGGAAUACAUCGGAAUCUACUCUGUCGUGGGGGAUAACGUAGGGAAACUUACGCUAAUACCGCAUACGACCUACGGGUGAAAGCAGGGGACCUUCGGGCCUUGCGCGAUUGAAUGAGCCGAUGUCGGAUUAGCUAGUUGGCGGGGUAAAGGCCCACCAAGGCGACGAUCCGUAGCUGGUCUGAGAGGAUGAUCAGCCACACUGGAACUGAGACACGGUCCAGACUCCUACGGGAGGCAGCAGUGGGGAAUAUUGGACAAUGGGCGCAAGCCUGAUCCAGCCAUACCGCGUGGGUGAAGAAGGCCUUCGGGUUGUAAAGCCCUUUUGUUGGGAAAGAAAUCCAGCUGGCUAAUACCCGGUUGGGAUGACGGUACCCAAAGAAUAAGCACCGGCUAACUUCGUGCUAGCAGCCGCCGCGUAA